GAGUAUUAGUUCUUUUACAUCCUUUUUCCUCCCGUUCUUGUUGUAGCAUUAGGAUUCUACACUAGUGAAAUUUUUUGGGAAAAGGUAUACUCAGAUUUGAGAGGGGUACAAAUAGGUUCAUGAUACCACUUUACUGGCAGGCGCACUUGUUAAUAUUUAGAGUCUUUGUAAUUUAUCAGAAAAGAAAUGAUCUUCGGUCUUUGUUCAAGUACCCAGGAGACUGCUGCUGUAGCAAGAAUAAUAGCGGAAUCUAUGCUUUGACUGUAUGUGAUCUUUGUUACUUAAAUGCAUGUUCGUGGUUGUUUGAAAGGGAAACUUGAAGAGAUGUAUCAGAGUUUGCUCUCUCGCUUGAUCUUUGUUCUUGUUUUCUUUAAUUUGCUAUUCCAUCGAGCCUUUGUAAUUUUUUGACGAGGAAGAAAGAUCUAGUUGCAUGCUACCAACUAUUUGAAGAAGAAAAAUAUAUCGAGGAAUGAACAGAAAGGAAAUCCCAAUUACAAGUAAAUCACUUUGACAAAGGUGCUACACAACUAAGGACAUAUGAUGACUCAAUGCAGGAAACUGGUCCUUCGUUAUGUUGCUCUUUAUUCUUGACGCCUUGAAUGUCACUUGCAGGUUGGCAAUACACUUGAGAGAGAGCUUGAUGAAUUCUAGAGUGUGCAAGUGUGAUGUUUUGCCUUUGCUUCAUGUUAAUAUUACAUAAGUGCCAUCACUUGAAUGAUGCAAGCAUGUCUGGUACAAAGGCAUUCCCCAUAAAGUGACUGCUCUACUGUUUGCACUGUUGCGUGUGUGCAGAGGAACAGUUGCAGUUACUUUACAACUGUGGGGAGUUGACUGGUACUGUCAGCAAGGGAACUGAUGUCGAUCUGUUCCCUCUGUUGUUUCUUGGACUCUGAAUGUUGGAACAUGCCCCAGACUUGAGACUAGUUGAUCUUGAACACUCAGAGGACGUGGAACAGGUUCCCCAUCUGGUUCUCAACAAUAAGUUUGUUAAAUCAUCAAAACAUAGUAAGACACAUAACUUAUCACAGUCCAAUUUCAAAUCUAGACUUAACAGUUGUCUAAUCUUGAUUUUCUUGGAUUCUGAUUAAAAUUUCGUAUUUGGUUAAGUGCCAGUUUGAAAAGCUUGAUCGAUAGAAUUAGAUAGUCUUGGAAGAUUUUAGAUAUGUGACUACAUUGGCAAAGACAAGUACCUGAUCAACUUUGGCAAAUUGAUGUGAGAGGGUUUAGGAGAUAUGUCUUAUCAUGAAACAUGCGGCAAAAGAACUUAGUGACGUCAACCUAAUCAUAUACGUACUAAUUUGCUUAGAGAUGUGUAUUUUUGCGAGUACAAAUAUAGGAGUCGACCUCUAUAUAUGACAAAAGUGGUAUAUGUUUGCAUAUGUGCACAUGUACACGUAGACGUGCACAUAGCUGUUCUUUUUUCUUCUUUUGCCAACAAUUUAUAACUGAUCUAGCUUAUGCUCACCUCAACUAUUAUCUGAUCUAGCUUAAGCUCACCUCAACUAUUUCAUCGAGUACUUACUACCUCCCACUAACACAUGUACCGGACUGAGAAGAAAUCACUUAAUAUUUUUUUCUCUACUGAGAUUUGAACCCCAAUCUCCCAUGAUUUUUACUCGCUUGCAUUAAUAGGCCAUACCGUUGGGUGCAUGUCUUAUUACAAACUACCUAUGACAAAAGGAGUGGAGGGUCCAAAAAACUAGAAACCUUCAUAGUAUUAUUUAACAGAUAUUACUCAGCAGGCUAACAAGGAAACAAAAGUCACCAGCCAGACAAAGCAAAAGUGCAAACUUGUUUAGACGCCAGAAGAAAAUUCCUCAUGAGGUAUCAAUUAGGCUGUAGUGCAUUUGAUAAGAGUACAUAAUCUUGCACAAGUAGCUCAAAAGGAAAAUCAGUCUCUCAUUUACAAAUACUGGACAGUAAAGGCCAAUUUCCUGCACAUAAGUUUUGUGCUGACACUGGCCAUGGAUAUUUAGAAGUGUUUGACAUUAGCAUUUGAUUUUAAGUAAGCAAAUGCAGCAAUGUUGGCUCAAGGGUCAGAUGGACACCCAUCACACCUUAUCAUCAUGGAACCACCACCUGGUUUCCUUGGGAGAUCUGCCAUUUCUACAGUUCUUCACGUAGCGGUCAUUAUCUUCGGGGCGUUGCUGCACAAGUGACGGGAACCAAUAAGAAUUAAAACUAAGAUAAAGCACGAAAAGCCCGUCCGAACAAUGUGGUAGAUUACAUAUUUUCGCAGAGUACAAGGAAGAAAUAGGUCCCGACAUAUUUGGAACAGCAGGCCCUUUUAGCAUAGCGCAAUCUCAUAAUAGCAACUCAAAUUAACAUUAUAAGGGACACAUGAAACGCACCUUCACAGUUGAACUUGACAGCAUGGAGAGAAUGCUGAUGCAUAUAGAACUGACUGUCAUGGCAGGAGACCAUGAAUCAUACAAAAUAUCUGCAAAGACAUGAAGAAGCUGUUGUCAACUGCUGGCUUUACUGAUGCAUCUCCAAUUUCUAUCAGGUGUAGAAGAAUCUUUCAUGAGAUGGAAGCUUAGCUCUAGGUCGCUAGCACACCAAUUAGUGAACUGCCCAUCGACCUUUAAGUUUUCACCCGCAGAAAAAAAAAA
This 2612-nucleotide long non-coding RNA is filed under the name Nicotiana tabacum (common tobacco). RNAcentral's name for it is "long non-coding RNA (NTAB_LNC007471)". The record is from RNAcentral. Lineage: Eukaryota; Viridiplantae; Streptophyta; Magnoliopsida; Solanales; Solanaceae.